GCAGCCCUGCCUUGUGCGAUAACUUACGGUCCAUAUUAACCCUACAAUUUUAUCUAAGGGAGCCCGGCUCCGUGCACGGAUUGCAGACCUCCCGGCUUUUGCCGGAUGUUGGGAGCGAGAACUGUAUGGGAGGCACCCACCUGCUUUAAACGCAGGUUACUAUCGACCGUAUCCGGCUUGGCGGGGUUCAA
Molecule: non-coding RNA, 191 nt
Organism: Ruminococcus sp. CAG:563
Lineage: Bacteria; Bacillati; Bacillota; Clostridia; Eubacteriales; Oscillospiraceae
Rfam family: 6S / SsrS RNA
About the family: E. coli 6S RNA was the first non coding RNA to be sequenced, but its function was unknown until recently.
Source: Rfam